RNAcentral lists this ribosomal RNA (200 nucleotides) under uncultured bacterium. RNAcentral describes it as "partial 16S ribosomal RNA". It matches the Rfam family "Bacterial small subunit ribosomal RNA", at positions 8 to 203 of the family's 1533-position model. The record is from RNAcentral.
AGAGUUUGAUCCUGGCUCAGAACGAACGCUGGCGGCGUGCCUAACACAUGCAAGUCGAACGGAAAUUUGAGAGCUUGCUCUUAAAUUUAGUGGCGCACGGGUGAGUAACGCGUAGAUAAUCUGCCUGACGAUCUGGGAUAACACUUCGAAAGAGGUGCUAAUACCGGAUAAGCCCACGGAGUCUUUGGACUUUGCGGGAA